UACGUAGGGUGCAAGCGUUAAUCGGAAUUACUGGGCGUAAAGCGUGCGCAGGCGGUGCUGUAAGACAGGCGUGAAAUCCCCGGGCUCAACCUGGGAAUUGCGCUUGUGACUGCAGUGCUGGAGUGCGGCAGAGGGGGAUGGAAUUCCGCGUGUAGCAGUGAAAUGCGUAGAUAUGCGGAGGAACACCGAUGGCGAAGGCAAUCCCCUGGGCCUGCACUGACGCUCAUGCACGAAAGCGUGGGGAGCAAAC
This 250-nucleotide ribosomal RNA is filed under the name uncultured bacterium. RNAcentral describes it as "partial 16S ribosomal RNA". It matches the Rfam family "Bacterial small subunit ribosomal RNA", at positions 524 to 773 of the family's 1533-position model. The record is from RNAcentral.